GUGGGGGUGGCAGACGAAUGCGUCCGACUUAAGCUCGGAAGAUGAGUUAGUAGCUCUCUCCAUU
Molecule: non-coding RNA, 64 nt
Organism: Mizuhopecten yessoensis (Yesso scallop)
Lineage: Eukaryota; Metazoa; Mollusca; Bivalvia; Pectinida; Pectinidae
Source: the annotation of a RefSeq genome assembly